UACGGAGGGUGCAAGCGUUAUCCGGAUUCACUGGGUUUAAAGGGUGUGUAGGCGGGCUGUUAAGUCAGUGGUGAAAUCUCCGGGCUCAACCCGGAAACUGCCAUUGAUACUAAUGGUCUUGAAUUUUGUUGAGGUAGGCGGAAUAUGUCAUGUAGCGGUGAAAUGCUUAGAUAUGACAUAGAACACCGAUUGCGAAGGCAGCUUACUAAGCAAAUAUUGACGCUGAGGCACGAAAAGCGUGGGGAUCAAACAGG
This 254-nucleotide ribosomal RNA is filed under the name uncultured bacterium. Its description in RNAcentral is "partial 16S ribosomal RNA". It matches the Rfam family "Bacterial small subunit ribosomal RNA", at positions 524 to 776 of the family's 1533-position model. The record is from RNAcentral.